RNAcentral lists this ribosomal RNA (253 nucleotides) under uncultured bacterium. RNAcentral's name for it is "partial 16S ribosomal RNA". It matches the Rfam family "Bacterial small subunit ribosomal RNA", at positions 524 to 776 of the family's 1533-position model. The record is from RNAcentral.
UACGUAGGUGGCAAGCGUUGUCCGGAUUUACUGGGCGUAAAGAGCUCGUAGGCGGUUUGUCGCGUCUGCUGUGAAAACUCGGGGCUUAACCCCGGGUCUGCAGUGGGUACGGGCAGACUAGAGUGCGGUAGGGGAGACUGGAAUUCCUGGUGUAGCGGUGAAAUGCGCAGAUAUCAGGAGGAACACCGGUGGCGAAGGCAAUCCCCUGGGCCUGCACUGACGCUCAUGCACGAAAGCGUGGGGAGCAAACAGG